Molecule: unclassified non-coding RNA, 349 nt
Filed under: soil metagenome
Description: partial contains 5.8S ribosomal RNA, internal transcribed spacer 2, and large subunit ribosomal RNA
Rfam family: 5.8S ribosomal RNA (bases 1-120)
Source: RNAcentral
GAUGAAGAACGUAGUGAAAUGCGAUAAGUAAUGUGAAUUGCAGAAUUCAGUGAAUCAUCGAAUCUUUGAACGCACAUUGCGCCCGCCAGCACUCUGGCGGGCAUGCCUGUCCGAGCGUCAUUUCAACCCUCAGGGCCCCUUCGGGGGACCUGGCGUUGGGGAUCGGCCCGCCCCCGUGCGGCGCCGUCCCCGAAAUAUAGUGGCGGUCUCGCUGCAGCCUCCCCUGCGUAGUAGCACACCUCGCACUGGAGAGCGGCGCGGCCACGCCGUGAAACCCCCAACUUCUGAAUGUUGACCUCGGAUCAGGUAGGAAUACCCGCUGAACUUAAGCAUAUCAAUAAGCGGAGGA